CAUUUGAGGUUUUAGUCAUCCUUAGUAUUAAUCCAGAGGGAAUCCACUAUACGGGGGUCCCUAUGGGACAAGUGUUCCCUACGUGAAAAUUUGUUCUUUAAAAGGUACACUCCAGUCCAAGUUAAAAUGAAGUACUGCAUUACAUACAGGGCACAAAGACUAUUUCAGUAAUAUUAUUUUUUUGUCAAGGCAUUGCUACAUUACACCAGUUUACCCAGUCCUUUUCUCAGCAAUCUAUGGAUCAGAGAUACAGGAAUACAGUGUGAAAUCAUUAAACAUGGGCUUACUUAGAUGGAGGCUUACAACAGUGAAACUAAGAAGAAAAUAUUAGGGUUCCUCAGGAAGCUCGUAGUGAAGAGCUGCUUCAUUUCUUGAUGUGUUAUUUAAAAUAAGUUUUAUUAAAACAAAUCAGUGGACUUACGGAGAAAAUAUUCGGCAGUGUCUGCUUCAUAAUCUGCAUCCUCUGGAAAGUGGUCAAUUUGUUUGCACACGCCCUUAAAAUUACCUAAAGAGAGAUGUGAAAAAUGUGUCAGAAUUUUCUUCGCAAGGUUAUUGUCAACAUGAUGACCCAUUCAAACACACUUGCACUAAACAUUAACAUCACCACUACAAUGCCAUCUUUCUGCUGCCUAUGCCUGGCAUGUACAAUGCAAAGUUAUUUUAAUUAACGGUGGA
Rana temporaria (common frog) is the source of this 675-nucleotide long non-coding RNA. RefSeq lists it as uncharacterized. The record is from RefSeq and is a predicted model, not a curated record. The transcript has 3 exons. Lineage: Eukaryota; Metazoa; Chordata; Amphibia; Anura; Ranidae.